GACGGCCGGAUGUCGCGGACCCUAGCAGCCAGGCCUCCGACUGCCCUGCCCUGGCACCGACCCGGGCAAAUUCUCGGCGAGCAGAGCAGGUGCAGGACGCUUGGGGCUGUCCCCGUCCCCGUCACCCACUCCCCGCCCACGCCCUAGGUCUUUCUGUGCGCCCAGCCUGGCGCCGACACGUCCAGACAUCGUUGUCGUGGUUUGGGGACCACUGGACCCCGCGGCGCACAGACCCGCCAGUGGCCCGCGCCCAGGAGAACUCCAGAAGGCGACAAGGAUGACCACCGCCCCUGCAUGGGACACUCGCUAGGUAAACAGUGAGCUCCGCGCUAAGCGCUUUUCAUCUACGCGGGGUCAUUUAUUCAUCACAACGGCCCUACGAGAUGAGGACAGUUACCAGCUCACCUUUCAGAAGAGCAAGCCGAGGAAAGUGGGGCAAUCCGCUGGAAAGUGCAGACGCUAGGAUUCGAACCAAGUCUGGGUGACCUGAAGCUUCCAGUCGUGCAUUUUCUGUCCCUCGAACUCGGAGGUCGAAGACUAAGGCCAGAAUACUGCUCUCCUAGUGCUGGGGAUGAUUCAUUAUUCAAGAGAAUAACAUGAGAAUAGCCUCAAAUCACGACCUACCCCACUUUGCUAGCAACCUGGCCCACCUGCAAUAACAAGGCUCUUUCUCCCCUGCUGAGAAACAUGACUUCCUGCCAAUGAGACGUCCCAGUGCCAAGGAAUGAAGAACUUUCACCCCAACCUAGCUGGUACCACAGGUUGACUGGGCAACUCUUCACAUCUAGACCAGCUUGGCUUGGGCUGAGGCUGGAUAAUCAAAGAGUCUCACCCACGUGUCUGACUGUUGUCAGACUGAGUAGCCUGAAGAAACCUCAGCUGGAACUGCUCAUCUCUGCUUUAUCUGGUCUGUCAUCUUCCAGAAGCCUUCUUCACAAGUGGCAGAAGGGUUCUAAAAUGAACAAGCGAGGGCAAAGCUUUUUCAAGUCUCUCCUUUCAUUGUUUUGCUUAUGUAGAGCAAGCCACCGGCUAAACCCAGAUUAAAAGCAUGAGAAAUCAAAUCCACCUUUUAUUGUGAGAAGUGGCAGAAUCACAAUGCAAAGGGGUGUGCGUACAGCAACCAGAGGAAUGUGCGGCCAUUUUUGUAAUCUACCACAUGGCUUUAGGGCAAAGACUAAAUCAAGGGUGUGAUUAUCGCACCCUAUUUUGAAGAUCUAUGUAAGGAUUAAGGUGGUGCCAUUCAGCUAGACAAAAGAGUUCCUAGAAUGAUGAACUGUGUGGUCCCACAGAAGCCUGAUAUGCCUAUUAUUUAGUAUCUGGUAUUAAGUCUAGAGAGGAAAGGAUGAAAGAAUUGUGAACAUGGCUUUUGGCCCAUGAAGUUGUCUGAAAUCAAAUACAUAGAAAAUACUCAGUUCAGCCAAGCGUGGUGGCUCAUGCCUGUAAUUCCAGCACUUUGGGAGGCCGAGGUGGGUGGAUCACCUGAGGUCGGGAGUUUGAGACCAGCCUGACCAACAUGAAGAAACCCCGUCUCUACUAAAAAUACAAAAAUUAGCCAGCCAUAGUGGCGCACAUGCCUGUAAUCCCAGCCACUUGGGAGGUUGAGGCAGAAGAAUCGCUUGAACCCGGGAGGCGGAGGUUGUGUUGAGCCAAGAUCUUGCCAUUGCACUCUAGCCUAGGCAACAAGAGCAAAACUCCAAAAAAAAAAAAGGAAGGAAGGAAGGAAGGCGGCAAAGUGCCCCCAACUUGGACUGAAGGAGACAAUGUGUAAAAUAAUAUCUAUGUCCCCAACUUUCUACAGAUAGAAAGAGGCUAAAAAAGCUUCCAGCCAACACAGAGGGCAAAUGUUCCAGUGCCCUCUUCCACAGUGCCCAAGGAGGAGGAUGAAAAAGGAAGGACUUUGUGAAUAUCGAGGAAGGUGACAAGAAGGACACCCAGGGGUAAAUACUCCACUGAGAAUUUCGUGUUGCCAAAUGCAAUGUUCAUGUAACUGUAAUAGGUUUGUUUCCCGAUGCACACAGCAAAUCAAUAGGCCAAGACACUGGGCCACAGCAGAGAAACAGGUUUAAUCAUAGGACUGCUGAAUGAGGAGAUAGGAGGAAACCUCAAAUCUGUCUUCCCGAGGAAUUUUGGACUACGGUUUUAAGGGUUUGGAGCAGGCUGAAGUAUGAUCAUUGGUUGGUCAAAGAGUAAAGGAUGAAGUUAUGGGACAGGGAGAUAAAGAAACUGUAUUCUCAUGCUGAUUCUAUUCCACUGGGGAGGUCUUCAAACUGAUUGGCAUCAGCUGUUUCACUGGAAGUCAGGAUCUGCUUAAGAAAUUUUUAGCUUCAGCUUGGCCGGGCGCGGUGGCUCACGCCUGUAAUCCCAGCACUUUGGGAGGCCGAGGCGGGCGGAUCACAAGGUCAGGAGAUCGAGACCACGGUGAAACCCCGUCUCUACUAAAAAUACAAAAAAUUAGCCGGGCGUGGUUGUGGGCUCCUGUAGUCCCAGCUACUCGGGAAGCUGAGGCAGGAGAAUGGCGUGAACCCGGGAGGCGGAGCUUGCAGUGAGCUGAGAUUGCGCCACUGCACUCCAGCCUGGGCUGGGCGACAGAGCGAGACUCCGUCUCAAAAAAAAAAAAAAGAAAUUUUUAAACAAAAGUCUUAUGAUUCCAAAACCAGAGAUCCUAUCUUAAGCAAAAGCCUUAGGAUUUUUUUUUUUUUUUUUGAAACGGAGUUUCGCUCUUGUCACCCAGGCUGGAAUGCAAUGGCGUGAUCUCGGCUCACUGCAACUUCCGCCUCCUGGGUUCAAGUGGUUCUCCUGCCUCAGCCUCUCGAGUAGCUGGGAUUAUAGGCGCCUGCCACCAAGCCUGGCUAAUUUUUAGUAGAGACAGGGUUUCACCAUGUUGGCCAGGCUGGUUUAGAACUCCUGACCUCAGGUGAUCCAUCUGCCUCGGCCUCCCAAAGUGCUGGGAUUACAGCUGUGAGCCACCUCGACCGGCCUCUGAAUUUUUU
Long non-coding RNA from Macaca fascicularis (crab-eating macaque), 2990 nucleotides. Lineage: Eukaryota; Metazoa; Chordata; Mammalia; Primates; Cercopithecidae. The record is from Ensembl.